CGAGAGAGACAAAGCGCUGCAGGCCAGGCGGGGGCCAUGGAGCUGCCAUCAGGCAUCCUGGUCCUGCCGUGGGGACUUGUGCUUCUACAGAGCUGCUCUGUCCUGUGCUCAGCGCUCUCGGGGCCCGCGCAAGCCGGCGGCAGCUCCGUGGUGUCCGAGUCGGCGGUGAGCUGGGCGGCGGGCGCCCAGGCGGUGCUGCGCUGCCAGAGCCCGCGCAUG
Long non-coding RNA from Galeopterus variegatus (Sunda flying lemur), 219 nucleotides. RefSeq lists it as uncharacterized. The transcript has 3 exons. Lineage: Eukaryota; Metazoa; Chordata; Mammalia; Dermoptera; Cynocephalidae. The record is from RefSeq and is a predicted model, not a curated record.